CAUUCACCACAACCAGGGGCAGUCACACACUUGGGAUUGUCAAUCUUUGGGGCCUCCCACUCACCAUCCUCCUCGUCAUCCCAAUCCUCUGGCUUUGUGGCUUCAGGAUCCUCUACCUCCUCAGGUUCAUCAUCCAACCAUCCUUCAGGUUUCUCUGCUUCCUCAUCUUCAAUUUCCAUGGGUGCAUCCUCAUCCCAAUCAUCAGGUUUAACUGCAUUAGGAUCCGGAAUUUUGGCUCUCUCAUCCCAAUCCUCAGGCUUCUUAUCUUCUGGAUCAGGAAUUGUCUUGGUAGGGAUAAGUGGAGGCAUAAAAUCAUCAGCUGAUAAGAAGUUGGCCUUCUUCUUCUCCUCCCCGUCGACCAGAAUUAUCAACUCGUUAUCAGGUUUGAUGAUGGCAGUGUACACAUGAGAAAGUUUGUCAGCUGGAACAGAGGGUGGGGUGGUAAGAUG
RNAcentral lists this long non-coding RNA (449 nucleotides) under Fragaria vesca (wild strawberry). Its description in RNAcentral is "long non-coding RNA (FVES_LNC005374)". Lineage: Eukaryota; Viridiplantae; Streptophyta; Magnoliopsida; Rosales; Rosaceae. The record is from RNAcentral.